RNAcentral lists this long non-coding RNA (6630 nucleotides) under Populus trichocarpa (black cottonwood). RNAcentral's name for it is "long non-coding RNA (PTRI_LNC003227)". Lineage: Eukaryota; Viridiplantae; Streptophyta; Magnoliopsida; Malpighiales; Salicaceae. The record is from RNAcentral.
UUGAUGUUAGAGGAAAAAACUUCGAGUUUUUUCCGUUUGGAAGUGGUAGAAGAAUGUGCCCUGGAGUAUCUUUUGCCCUUCAUGUCAUGGAUCUAGCACUGGCUACAUUGCUACAUGGGUUUGAUUUUGCAACCCCGUCAGGUGAGCCUGUUGAUAUGCAUGAGAGCAGUGGAUUAACCAACCUCCGAGCAACGCCCCUCGAAGUUCUUCUCAGUCCACGCCUUCCUUCUCGUUUAUAUGGACAUUAAAACAUACCUCUAAAUCGUCUAUAUGCUUUUCUUAAAUUUCCAGCAACUAUGAAUUAUACUUUUAAAUUCGGUUCAAGAGGGAUGCACAUCAUCUCCAUUAACAAGUUGUGAGAAGCAAAGUUAUCAUUUUAAUUCUUUUAGAUUCAAGUAUUUAUUUUUUCUUGUUCAGAAUUAUGUUAUUGAUUGUUAUUUAAGAUUAUUGAAUUGUUUUGAGAUGACAUGUAUGUUUUCUAGUUUCUUUCAAUCCGUAAUUGUUGUUAGAGACUAAUGUAAGAAGCAGAAGAAUUAAUUUGAUUGUUGUAACUCUCAUCUUGAUUUAUUAGAGAAGAAUAAACUAAAUUAAAUUGAAAAGCUUUUGAACGUUUACUUAGAAUAAAUGCAUAAAUUUUAUUCCUAAGACUAUUAUCAAUGAAAAUUGCUUUCAAUAUUACAUUCGCUUGAUGGUAAGAAAUUGAUUAGAGAGAUUUUUCUAAUUAAUGUUCUCGUAAUCUCAUCAAUUUUCCUCAGCUUUAAGGGAUAUUAAAUUUAUUUGCUUGACGUGAAAGAAUAUUUAUUUUACUUCGAUGAUCAGCAAAUUUAUAGGAAUGGAUGUGUGGAUCCUUGAACUGAUUUGGUAACAUAUCAAUUUAUUAUUUUCAGAAUUAUUGUUUCUUGAAUUUUUCAUUCAAAUCUCUCAUUCUUUCUCAUUUCAAUAUAUUGUAGGAAGAUUAAACGAAAUUUCUCUCGGGUUCGACCUGGUUUUCACGAUCAUAUUAUAAAUUUAUUUUUUUGUGAUAAUUAAGUCAUAAUUAUAUUUUGAUGGUUCCGACGACCGACCAAAUUUUGGAGUUGUUGCCGGGAAAGUUUUUAUCUAAUUUUCUAUUAAUAGUAAACUGAUUUAUGCCAAGAUCUUCUCGUACAGGUGAACUAGUUUUUGAUCCAAAAGUUGAGAGAACUACAAGAUAAAAUAGGAAGGCAAAAAUGCGAGAGGAGAACCUGCCAACCUUAACGCUUUCAACCAGCAAUUCUAAAAGCGAAAGAGAAGCAGAAGUUUCCAAAAGAUGGUAGAACAUAGAACAUUAAGCAACUCCCAACUUGAACCAACACCCAUUAUGCAUUGAAUUUUCAAAUAUUGAUGUAGCUUUUGAGUUAAAAUCUAGUUUGAUUCAUUUACUACCUACUUUUCGAGGCUUUGCAGGUGAAGACCCCCACAAUCACUUAAAGGAAUUCCAUGUGAUUUGUUCAACCAUGAAGCCACAAGGAGUGAUAGAGGAACAAAUUGAAUUGAGGGCUUGAGUUCUAAAAUAGUCACCUUGAGUGCUAAAAAAAAAGUCCACGCCCCCAUUUAACUUUUAUGAUGGGGUUACUUGUAGUUCAAUAUUUGAAUAGUGAGCCCUCGUGCCCCCUUUAUAUUUUACAUCAAAAUCAACUCAAGAAUCGACUUAGUUUAUGCAUACAACUCGAUGAUGGAUUUUGUUUUAAUGGCGGGGUUGAAGAAUCUUCAACGGUGUGUCAACAACUUAAAUCAGCAAUCUUGUUGCUUUUGGAAGUGACAAUUGUUAUAACUUAAUUUUAACCAAUUUGUUUUUAAUUUAAUUUUAAAAGGGUUAAAAUUUAAAAUUUAAAAUUUAAAAGAUCAAUAAUUGAUUUAGAUUAAAGGUAUGAUAUGCUAACUUGUGGGAAAACUAGAGAUUAUAAUAUGUUUUUGUUAUUCUCUUCUAAUCUCUAGUUUAAAAAGAUAAUUAAAGAUAAUCCAUUUUUAAAUUUGAUUUGUAAUCAAACUUAAAUUUCACAAAUAAAAAAAAAUUUGAGUUUUUUUCGGGAUUUUGUUUCCCAUUCCAUGGGAGGGGGGGGGGGGUGUUUCACCUUCUCCCUGCCAGCGUCGUUCCCCAAAACCGAACACAAACCAGAGCCUCAAUCUCUGAUAUAUAAGAAAAAUUGAAAGAGAGUUUUUUUUUUUUUUGUAUGAUAUGUGGAGGAAUCUCAAUCAUAAAAAAGGCCAUGUGAAAGCAACGGCAAGCUUUGGACUCAUCCGAACUGCUCCUUCACAUUUAAAUAAGCUGAUAUUAUUAAAAAAUAUAUUGAUUUUAUUUACGUUUGGAUAUUGUAAUACAUAUCAAUAUAUUUCUUAAUAUAUCAAACUGAUUUAAAAUUAAAAAAUAUUUUUUUAAUUAUAUUUUAAUACCAAUUAUAUCAUCGAAGAUUAAUAGUAUUUCUGGUCUUAUUAUGUUUGGAUUUUUUUUUAAUUUUAUAUCAAUAUGAUAUAUUAAGAAAUAAAUUGAUAUUUAUUCCAAAAUCCAAACAUAAUAAGUCAAGAAAUACCUUUACUACCGAACCAACAACUUGAAUUAAAAUAUAAUUAAGAGAUUUCAUCUCUAGCAACUCGAUGAUAUUUUCCUCGAGCAAAUCAUUUAGUAUUCUAUAUAUAUCUGAGUCAGUGCAUUAAUUAAAAACAUUGCAUUUUAAGAAGCGAAUAAAUUAUUUUAGAAUGAGAUCACUACCAGUUUCAAUAUUGUUGCAAGUCUCCAAGUAAAUUGUCCAUCUAUGAAUAUUAACGUUAUUGCAAGUAAUUCUUGUAUGUACUUGUUCAUGAAUAUUCACAUUAAUUUGAUAAAUCAAUCAUUAAUCAUUCAAGUUAUUAAACUCAAUUCAUGAUUUCGUAAUCUAAAUUAACUUAAAUCAAUUUAAAAUUAUAUUAUUUCAAGAUAUUAAAAAAAAUUAAAACAAUACAAUUUAAAAAUAAAUAAACUGAGUUUUGAUCAAGGACUUGAACUAAUUUUUUAAAUUUCAGCAAUCAACUUCUUUUUGGUAUUUUUAAAACCCAACCCAACCUAGUCCUAAAUUUACUAGACCCAACUUGGCCCAUCACUUCAAAUCACUGAUGACAAUCACACUAUAUAUUAUAUCAUUUAGAAACAAUAAUAGAGUGGCAAUCAUCAUCCAUUUAUUGACGAUCAAAAAGCCUAUAGGCAAUGAAUGGUUUGGGAACCGACAUUAGUGGAUGCUUUAGAAAAAUUAAUAUUGACUAUAUAUCAAGUUCUUUCUUGGGCCAAUCUUUUUUAGCCGAGAGUGGGAAAAUAAAAUUUCUAGUGUUGUCACUUCACUUUACCUCUAUCAAACAGGAAAAAAGGUUUUUUUUUUCUUUUUUUAAUCAGGCAUAAUUAGUCCAUACACAUCUCGUUGAACUAAACAUUAACUCUUUUUUAACUCUUUUUUUUUUCUUUUACUAGCGGUCCAGAAUUGAUCACUCAGGUCAACUCGGAUUAACCAUGAAAAAUUAAAAAAAAAAAAAAUUCUAAUAUUUUUUAUAAAAAAAUUAAGAAAAAAUCUAUGUAAAUAUAGACUAUACAUAUUGUAAAUAAUGAAGUUUAAAAGAAUAUUUUAAAAUUAUUUUAAUAAAAUGGAUGUUCGGGUCAGCUUGCGCGCAUCUUGAUUAAUCUCACGGGCCUUAAAGUUAACAACCAUAUAAGCCUUCAAUACCCCUAAAAUUUAUAAGACUCAAACUGGUAGUCUAUAUAACAACUACAUUACUAGUUAAGUUACGUAACUCCGGAUUGAAAUUUUUGUUUUUUGUUUCUACGGUUGCGGAGAAAUCUCGAUAAUAAAAAAGAGGCCAUGUGAAAGCAACAGCAAGCUUUGGACUCAUCCGAACAGCUCCUCAACAUUUUAAAAAGCUGAUAUUAUUACAGGAAGGCGUUACAUCCCAAAUCUCCAGAACGAGCUAUGGAGUUUUUUUAUCUUCCAUUCCUCACCAAUAACAUGACCUCCAAUCCCAUGUUUUUCAUUUUUAUUUUUAUCUGUUCAAUCUUCUGGAUUUCAAGAAAAUUCUUAGCAGGCACAGGCAAGAAGAAAGCAGCACCAAAAGCUGGUGGAGCAUGGCCUGUGAUUGGCCACCUCCAUCUGUUAGGAGGGGCGGAACCUCCCCAUAAAGUACUGGGCAGCAUGGCUGAAAAAUAUGGACCCAUCUUCACAAUCAAGAUGGGCGUGCACCGAGCUUUGGUAGUAAGCAAUUGGGAGACCGCCAAGGAGUGUUUCACCACCCAUGAUAAAGCCUUUUCCGGUCGUCCGAGAACACUUGCCUCUGAGCUUUUGACAUAUGAUGGUGCAAUGAUGGGGUUUAGCCCAUAUGGGCCUUAUUGGCGUCAAGUCCGCAAAAUAACCACGGUUGAGCUUCUAUCAAACUACCGGCUAGAGAAGCUGAAAGAUGUACGAGAGAGCGAGGUAAGGGCAUUUCUGAAAGAGUUGUACAAGUUAUGGGACGAGAAUAGAUGUAGUGCAUCAAAAUCAAAAAGUAGUCUGGUAUUGGUGGAAAUGAAAAGAUGGUUUGGAGAUCUAACAUUAAACAUCGUUCUUAGAACAAUUGUUGGAAAAACUGUGGGAUAUAUCUCAAACGUUGAGGAUGAGGAGAGUGUGGAAGGAUGGAAAAAGGGAUUGAAGGAUUUUUUUCAUUGGACAGGGGUGUUUUCGGUGUCUGAUGCGCUACCAUUUUUAAGGUUUUUGGAUCUUGGGGGGCAUGGGGAGGCUAUGAAGAAGACUGCAAAAGAACUGGACCUUGUUGUUGAGGAUUGGCUACAAGAACACAAGCGAAAAAGAGCUGCUGGAAUUGUUAAGGGUAAGGAGGACUUCAUGGAUUUGAUGCUAGAUGUUUUCGAUAAUGAUGCAGAAGCAGUUCAAGGCGGAGAUUCUGAUACCACCAUCAAAGCUACAUCCCUGGUAAUUAAUCGUCCACACCAAUUAACCCAUGCUAUAGUUCAUACCCAAUUCAAUUAAUUAUUACCCUCUAUGCUUAGUCUUUUAAGGAUUAAUUCAAUUAAUUAACAUUAAUUAGACUAUAAAUAAACUAUAGAUUGAUAAAUGUAGAAGGCUCUGCAAUUCUUAUUUUAACAUUGAAAAGAAAAAAAAAGGUUGCAUAAUUUAAACAAUACUUUUUGCAUCCCUACAACGAUGCCAAGAGGCAACAUUUUAACAAGUUUUAUGUUCAUUGCAAAACAAAAAAAAAAAAAAAACAAAUCAUGAAUAAGAGAAUAUUUUAGUAGAGUAUACAUCUUUUUUGUUGAAUAUCAUAAGGGGUAAAAUACACUAACAUCUCCUGAACUAUUAGUUAAAUAUAUUAUGUCAAAUUUAUUCAGCUUAGAUAAUCAUUAAAAAAACUAACAAAAAAAAAUAUUCAUAUUAAGUUAACUUUUCAUUCAAAUUGAGGUUAGUAUUUGUCAUGUGACUGCAUAACUUAACAAAACAAAAAUCUAAUUUUUAAUUUUAAUUUUCUUUGAGGAUUAUUUACAUUAAAUAAAUUAGAUAAAAAACUAUUGACACUUUGACCUCUUUAAAGUUAGAGACAUUUUACCUUCUUUUAAGUUAGUAAUAAUUAUUAGUUUAUUUUAAUGAAAUAGAAAAAGAUAUAGACAUAUUUUUCAAGAUGAGGCUGAAAUUAUGAAUUUAAAAAAAAUGUAAAAAUUAUCUAGGUGGUGGCCCAGUGAUAAGAGUUUGGGACCAAGAGGUUUGCUUUCCCUGUGGUCUCAGGUUCAAGCCAUGUGGUUGCUCAUAUGAUGGCCACUAGAGGCUUACAUGGUCGUUAACUUCAGGGCCCGUGGGAUUAGUCGAGGUACGCGCAAGCUGGACCAGACACCUACGUUAAACUAAAAAAAAAAAUGUAAAUAAUUAUUAGUCUAUGGAUGUUGCUUGAGUUAAUGGGUUACAGCUUGCGGAAUAUCACUCUUGCAGGCCCUUAUUCUGGCAGCAUCAAACACGACAGCAGUGACUUUGAUAUGGGCUCUCUCUUUACUAGUCAAUAAUCCUAAUGUACUAAAGAAGGCACAGCUUGAAUUAGACACCCACGUUGGUAAGGAAAGACAAGUGGAAGAAUCGGAUGUGCAAAAUUUGGUCUACCUUAAAGCUGUUCUCAAGGAAACGCUGCGUUUAUACCCAGCUGGACCUCUCUUGGUACCACAUGAGGCCAUUGAGGAUUGCACCAUAGAUGGCUACCAUGUUCCGAGAGGGACAAGACUUCUCAUUAAUGUUCCGAAGAUUCAUCGUGAUGAAAGGGUGUGGUCCAAUCCUAACGAGUUUGAUCCGGAAAGAUUUCUAACAACUCACAGAGGUUUUGAUGUUAGAGGAAAAAACUUCGAGUUUUUUCCGUUUGGAAGUGGCAGAAGAAAGUGCCCCGGAGUAUCUUUUGCCCUUCAUGUCAUGGAUCUAGCACUGGCUACAUUGCUACAUGGGUUUGAUUUUGCAACCCCGUCAGGUGAACCAGUUGAUAUGCACGAGAGCAGUGGAUUAACCAACCUCCGAGCAACGCCCCUCGAAGUUCUUCUCAGUCCACGCCUUCCUUCUCGUCUAUAUGGACAUUAAAACAUACCUUUAACUUGUCCAUCUGUGAAUAAGAUCACAAAUAUUGAUGUUAUUG